AGUGAACGCUGGCGGCAGGCCUAAUACAUGCAAGUCGAACGGCAGCACAGCAGAGCUUGCUCUGUGGGUGGCGAGUGGGCGGACGGGUGAGGAAUACGUGGGAAUCUGCCCAGUCGUGGGGGAUAACGUAGGGAAACUUACGCUAAUACCGCAUGCACCCUUCGGGGGAAAGCCGGGGGACCUUCGGGCCUGGCGCGAUUGGAUGAGCCCACGUCGGAUUAGCUAGUUGGCGGGGUAAAGGCCCACCAAGGCGACGAUCCGUAGCUGGUCUGAGAGGAUGAUCAGCCACACUGGAACUGAGACACGGUCCAGACUCCUACGGGAGGCAGCAGUAGGGAAUAUUGGACAAUGGGCGCAAGCCUGAUCCAGCCAUGCCGCGUGAGUGAAGAAGGCCCUCGGGUUGUAAAGCUCUUUUGUCCGGAAAGAAAGCGCCGGGUUAAUACCCUGGUGUCCUGACGGUACCGGAGAAUAAGCACCGGCUAACUCGUGCCAGCAGCCGCGGU
RNAcentral lists this ribosomal RNA (503 nucleotides) under uncultured bacterium. RNAcentral's name for it is "bacterial SSU rRNA". It matches the Rfam family "Bacterial small subunit ribosomal RNA", at positions 30 to 521 of the family's 1533-position model. The record is from RNAcentral.